CAGUGUACGUCCCUGGCCUCAGAUCAUACUCUUUAUGGCUGUUUCCUUAUGAAAAGAACAUUAUGCGUCGCGUUUCACCGUUGCUUGAGCACCUCGUCAGCUAAUAUUCUAGUGUUGAACAUCAGUAGAGGAGAACAUUAUAAGACCCUUGCAAAGGCCUGCUACAUAAAAAGUAGUAUUUCAAAUGGUAGUGGUCUCACUCAAAUCAUUACCGGAAUACGGUUGUUUCAAAGAACUGGCAAAAUGUGAAGAUUAUCCGUAAUAGCCGAAGAAUUUUAAUAUUUUUCAACAAUUCAAAUUAAAUUGUAAACUAGAAGAAAGCUGCUUUGUAUUGAAAACGAAAUGUUUUAUGUGGACAUUUUAGUAAAUAAAUAAAAAUAACAGUGGAA
Musca domestica (house fly) is the source of this 389-nucleotide long non-coding RNA. RefSeq lists it as uncharacterized. NCBI's taxonomy places the organism in Eukaryota, Metazoa, Arthropoda, Insecta, Diptera, Muscidae. The record is from RefSeq and is a predicted model, not a curated record. The transcript has 2 exons.